This is a long non-coding RNA of Cryptotermes secundus, 623 nucleotides long. RefSeq lists it as uncharacterized. The record is from RefSeq and is a predicted model, not a curated record. The transcript is spliced from 2 exons. Lineage: Eukaryota; Metazoa; Arthropoda; Insecta; Blattodea; Kalotermitidae.
CAAUGGUAACAACCGUAACAACCAACAUGACAAUCAUAUAUUUCUCUUCGAAGGCAUUGAUGGUGCAUCCUUAAGUAAUGACCGUUUAUGGGUAUUCUAAAUACAUACAUCACACUUCAAAUAGUGAGAUGGUCGUUUGCGCUCAUCGUGUUAUGGUAGGCGUGAUGUACAGAUUAAUAUUUGUGCCAACACUUUCAUUUUCCUGGUACAGGAAUAUAAUUAACAACAGGACAUAAGCUACGGAAUGAUCACACGUCGAUGUAUGUAGUCUCUGAUCUACAUUUGGCGAUGGCGCCUCCAGAUAUAGAACACAUCAAAGACCAAGUUACUAUAAAAUCAAUCCAGAGGACAACGUCAUAAGGAUAUUACAAUUUAUAUACAACAGUUGUUGCAAUAAUUAUUGAUGCAAGUAAAUUUACUGUCAUUGUCAACACUAUGCUCCACGGUUCCACACUGAAAUACAAUUAAAACCUUAAGGACAAUGUUAUAAUUAAAUACAACAUGCAUAUAACACUUGCACUGCAACUUAUUAUAAUAAAAUACAUACUAACAUUGUCUAUAAUAGAAAAAAAGCACAUCCAGAGAAUUAUAGGUAUCAUACAAUAAAAGUUUUUUAAAAAUGA